RNAcentral lists this ribosomal RNA (382 nucleotides) under uncultured eukaryote. Its description in RNAcentral is "partial 18S ribosomal RNA". It matches the Rfam family "Eukaryotic small subunit ribosomal RNA", at positions 592 to 976 of the family's 1831-position model. The record is from RNAcentral.
UGUAAGCGUAUACCAAAGUUGUUGCAGUUAAAACGCUCGUAGUCGGAAUUUGGCAGUUCCGGAUGUGUGCACGUCGUGUGCGCACUUCGCGGGGAUUGCUUUUGUGGUCUUGCGUAGGAUGAGGCACUUUUAUUAGUGAACGUCCGCACGCAACCACUUUUUACUGUGAGAAAAUCAGAGUGCUCAAAGCAGGCAUUUGCCGUGAAUGUAUUAGCAUGGAAUAAUAGAAUAGGACUUGGUUCUAUUUUGUUGGUUUGUUGGGACUGAGUAAUGAUUAAGAGGGACAGUUGGGGGCAUUUGUAUUUCGGUGCUAGAGGUGAAAUUCUUAGAUUACCGAAAGACAAACUGCUGCGAAAGCGUCUGCCAAGGAUGUUUUCAUUGA